Molecule: ribosomal RNA, 418 nt
Filed under: uncultured bacterium
Lineage: Bacteria
Description: bacterial SSU rRNA
Rfam family: Bacterial small subunit ribosomal RNA
Source: RNAcentral
GGAAUAUUGGUCAAUGGGCGGAAGCCUGAACCAGCCAAGUCGCGUGAGGGAAGACGGUCCUAUGGAUUGUAAACCUCUUUUGCAGGGGAGCAAGGCGCCUUACGAGUAAGGCGUUGGAGAGUACCCUGAGAAAAAGCAUCGGCUAACUCCGUGCCAGCAGCCGCGGUAAUACGGAGGAUGCGAGCGUUAUCCGGAUUUAUUGGGUUUAAAGGGUGCGUAGGCGGGCUGGUAAGUCAGCGGUAAAAAUGCGGUGCUCAACGCCGUAGUGCCGUUGAAACUGCCGGUCUUGAGUGAGCGAGAAGUAUGCGGAAUGCGUGGUGUAGCGGUGAAAUGCAUAGAUAUCACGCAGAACUCCGAUUGCGAAGGCAGCAUACCGGCGCUCAACUGACGCUGAGGCACGAAAGCGUGGGGAUCGAAC